This 19-nucleotide non-coding RNA is filed under the name Arabidopsis thaliana (thale cress). Lineage: Eukaryota; Viridiplantae; Streptophyta; Magnoliopsida; Brassicales; Brassicaceae. The record is from RNAcentral.
GAUGUGUCAAGUUGUGGGA